Molecule: ribosomal RNA, 254 nt
Filed under: uncultured bacterium
Lineage: Bacteria
Description: partial 16S ribosomal RNA
Rfam family: Bacterial small subunit ribosomal RNA
Source: RNAcentral
UACGUAGGGUGCGAGCGUUGUCCGGAAUUAUUGGGCGUAAAGAGCUCGUAGGCGGUCUGUCGCGUCGAUCGUGAAAACUUGGGGCUUAACCCUGAGCUUGCGGUCGAUACGGGCAUGACUGGAGUUCGGCAGGGGAGACUGGAAUUCCUGGUGUAGCGGUGAAAUGCGCAGAUAUCAGGAGGAACACCGGUGGCGAAGGCGGUUCUCUGGGCCUGUACUGACGCUGAGGAGCGAAAGCGUGGGGAGCGAACAGG